UACGGAGGGUGCGAGCGUUGUCCGGAAUCAUUGGGCGUAAAGGGCGCGUAGGUGGCCCGGUGAGUCUUUGGUGAAAGCGCGGGGCUCAACCCUGCGUCGGCCAGGGAUACUGCCGCGGCUCGAGCACUGUAGAGGCAGGCGGAAUUCCGGGUGUAGCGGUGGAAUGCGUAGAGAUCCGGAAGAACACCGGUGGCGAAGGCGGCCUGCUGGGCAGGAGGGGCGACCCUUUCAAGCUGACACUGAGGCGCGACAGCGUGGGGAUCAAACAGG
Molecule: ribosomal RNA, 270 nt
Filed under: uncultured bacterium
Lineage: Bacteria
Description: partial 16S ribosomal RNA
Rfam family: Bacterial small subunit ribosomal RNA
Source: RNAcentral